RNAcentral lists this ribosomal RNA (434 nucleotides) under uncultured Blautia sp. Its description in RNAcentral is "partial 16S ribosomal RNA". It matches the Rfam family "Bacterial small subunit ribosomal RNA", at positions 341 to 792 of the family's 1533-position model. Lineage: Bacteria; Bacillati; Bacillota; Clostridia; Lachnospirales; Lachnospiraceae. The record is from RNAcentral.
ACGGGAGGCAGCAGUGGGGAAUAUUGCACAAUGGGGGAAACCCUGAUGCAGCGACGCCGCGUGAAGGAAGAAGUAUCUCGGUAUGUAAACUUCUAUCAGCGGGGAAGGUAAUGACGGGACCUGACUAAGAAGCCCCGGCUAACUACGUGCCAGCAGCCGCGGUAAUACGUAGGGGGCAAGCGUUAUCCGGAUUUACUGGGUGUAAAGGGAGCGUAGACGGAAUGGCAAGUUUGAAGUGAAAACCCUGGGCUUAACCCAGGACUUGCUUUGAAAACUGUCAAUCUAGAGUACUGGAGGGGUAUGGGGAAUUCCUAGUGUAGUAGUGAAAUGCGUAGAUAUUAGGAGGAACACCGGAGGCGAAGGCGCCAUACUGGACAGAUACUGACGUUGAGGCUCGAAAGCGUGGGGAGCAAACAGGAUUAGAUACCCUGGUA